AUGGCAGAAUGCUUCAAUAAGGUGCUCAAGGGUGUACGUGCAUUACCCGUGACGACAAUAGUUCAGUACACAUUUGACAAGAUGAAUGGAUACUUUUUAAAGUACUCAAUGGAGACGGAUAAGCAGAUUGCUGGUGAGAACAAGGAUAAGCACAAGUACUAUUUCCCACCAAAGGUUGAAGAAUGGUUGGACUUUCAAUCACGAAAGGUAGACUCGCAAGAAGCUGUACUAUAUGACGACAACGAGUGGAAGUAUGAGGUGAAAGAGCCUGGAGGAACCACAAAUGAUGGCCACCAACACAGAGGUCGCGCUUUCAAGGUCUCCCUAACACGGUGUGAUUGCAGCUGCAUGAGGCCAACGUUGCUUCAUCUCCCAUGCUGGUAG
RNAcentral lists this ribosomal RNA (384 nucleotides) under Triticum aestivum (bread wheat). RNAcentral describes it as "partial small subunit ribosomal RNA". Lineage: Eukaryota; Viridiplantae; Streptophyta; Magnoliopsida; Poales; Poaceae. The record is from RNAcentral.